This 253-nucleotide ribosomal RNA is filed under the name uncultured bacterium. Its description in RNAcentral is "partial 16S ribosomal RNA". It matches the Rfam family "Bacterial small subunit ribosomal RNA", at positions 524 to 776 of the family's 1533-position model. The record is from RNAcentral.
UACGAAGGGGACUAGCGUUGUUCGGAAUCACUGGGCGUAAAGCGCACGUAGGCGGAUAUGUCAGUCAGGGGUGAAAUCCCGGGGCUCAACCUCGGAACUGCCUUUGAUACAGCAUGUCUUGAGUCCGAUAGAGGUGGGCGGAAUUCCUAGUGUAGAGGUGAAAUGCGUAGAUAUCGGGAGGAACACCAGUGGCGAAGGCGACUUCCUGGCCUGUUCUUGACGCUGAGGCGCGAAAGCUAGGGGAGCAAACGGG